This 3266-nucleotide long non-coding RNA is filed under the name Sus scrofa (pig). RNAcentral's name for it is "lncRNA (ENSSSCG00065026169.1)". The record is from RNAcentral. Lineage: Eukaryota; Metazoa; Chordata; Mammalia; Artiodactyla; Suidae.
GACAUAGAAUAAACAAAUCAAAAUAUUGUAACACCUUAUUUAUUUUUCUUUGAAAUAAAAAAAAUGUUAUUUUUAUGUUUUCCACAGUAAUACAAUGUGGAUAUUAUCAAUGAGGAUAUGAAAUCACUGAUUUAGCAACAAUAUUAAAACCUCUCUGGGCUUUUAACAUUUUUAUUUAAGGUUGGAUUAAAAGGCUCUCAUUUCUUCCAGUCGUUUAUCCUGAAAACAUUCUCAGUGCGAUGCUGGCUUCUUCCUUUCUUUCUUUCUCUUUUUCUCUCUCUUUCUUUCUUUCUUUCUCUUUCUUUUUCUUUUUUUAUUAUUGAUACAACUUGAAAGAAGCUGACAAGUGAACAAGAAAUAUUCAAGCAUGCUCUAUUCUAACUGAUUUGUUCAAGAGGAUGAUUCAUUUAAUUUCAUAAAGGCUCAGUGGGCCAGAACUGUAGAUGACCAGGUCAGCAGAGGGAAUGUAGGGGAGAAGAGGUCUGUGAGAAGAUCUAUGUAACAAGCAACAAUAUUUAGUUUUUUAGAGCUGAAGUUCUGCUUGAGCAAUUCUGAUGUUACCAGCAACAGUCAUUUAAAGAGCUGCUGAUGCCUCAGGGAAAACAUUUUUAAAACAUCCUAUCUAAAAACAAUGCUCCUUGUACUGUGUCAUAUCUAUUAGAACUCCAUCCCUUGCUUAUAUUAGAGUACAUCGUGACUGAUUAAAACCUGUGCUACUGUAAUGUGGCGUCUUGAGAGUGCCGAUUAAAUGUUGCUACUGAAAUAUUUCCUCCUACUGAAUCUCUCUGAAUAUGAUUGAAAUAUUAAUCACCUGGUAAACAAAGCUGGAGAACAGAGAAAAGUAUAAUUUAAUUUUAACUAAAAUGUCUAAAAUUCUAUAAAAAUUUUUAUACAAUUAUUUAAAAUGUUAGAGAAAAAAAUACAAAAUCAUAUGAACAUGCUACAAAUAUUCUUGACUUCUUUAUUGUACUUCUUUAGUAUUUAACUUUGACUGAUGACCUCAACAUGCAAAUCAUGUCGUAUUUCUAAUAGAUUAUAUGGUAUUUUUGAAUAGUGUAACUUACUGGCCAGUGGUAUCCCUGGAGUAGAUGAUAUAUAUCUUGUAAUAGAUAAGAUUGGAAAAAAUUGAUGUAUCUCUGGAAAUCAUAAUGGUGGUGGUCUAGCAUGAAUAGUUACUCUAGUUAGAGACUUAUUUACCUGGAUUUUAUUCAACAGCACAUUGUAUAGCUAGGAAAAAAAACCUCGGUUUAACCAUUAUCUUUAAUUUUGCUUUCUUUAUAUUUUAAAGGAAACCUUAAAAUUAAAGCAAUUCAAGUAAAUGCUCUGUUGAAGAUGAUAAUUUGCAAGAGUGUAGUUUUAUAUGAAAUGAUUUAUUUUGAAAGUAUAUUCAGUUUUCCAAAGUAAAUCAGAGAUACACACAUAUUUGGAAACUUUCCUAGAGGGAACUAGGUGGUGCUGUUCUGUCAUGUUUGUGUCCUAGUGACUUCUUUGGUCUGUUCUCAAUUCAUUAAACAUUUUCAUACAAUAGGUACAUUAGAUAAGAUACAAUUUGGUCUAUAUUGGCAUUAUUUUUAUUAACCAACUAAGCUUAUGUUGAUCUUGCAUCUUUUUUUCUCAGUAUUUUUGUAUAGCAGAUAAAAACUGUCUUUCUAAGCAGUAAGCUAUGUCACAGUUCACAAUGUCUCUCAUUUCUUCAUCAUUUAAAGUAAUAUAUUAAAUUCUGAAAUCUUCAGAUAUUUAUAUCAUUUUCUUAUUUCAGACUUAAUAACAACAAAGUUACUCCACUGUUCACUGUUAGUACACUGGUAUUUUUGAGGUAUAUUUUCUUAGUAAGAAUUAUGACUUCUUUCAGAUACCAUUAGGUUUAGGGAAUCAGAUAUGAGAAAAAAAGGUUUCUUUUUUUUUUUUUUCAUCAAAAAUCAUCUUGUAAGUUGUACUUCUUAAUGAUUUUUUGAUACCUUUGGAGAAGAGUAUAUCAUGUAAUUUAUUAUCUAAAGUAAAUCUGGAUAUAAAAUAAGGAUAAAAGUACUUUAAGAAUCUACCUAUGUGUUUUCUUAUAAAAUUAUAUUGCUAUCAUUUUGAAUGGGGACAGAUAUAAUUUACAGCAUUUUUUUUCUGAUGCAAUACAUCCUCCUUGCUGCUAUCUAUAUCAUAGAACAUUUAAGUUUUACAUUAAUAGAGGAGUGAAUGUUAUAUAUAGAAAACUGUUUUCUUUUAUCUCUCAAAUCUUUUAUCUUUAGAAGACAGAAUCAAUAUGGAAUUUCAGAAUGGUUCCAUGGCAUGUUAUUUUACAAUGCACAGAGAUAAUCUCUGAGAUGAACAUCUUCUAGGCUAAUAAGCCUAAGUGCAAGUGCGGUUAAACUUCUGUUCGCAUGUCAGGUCUUCUGGAAUAAUAGGGAAGUCACAAGAUUUGUGACUUCCAUUUUAAAAGGGAGAAUGCCAGUGGCUAAAUGUUUGAAUGCCACAUUUAAAUAUUUGUCAGAUAAGAGUUCAGAAUGGGGGAACUGAAUAAGAGAAUUGAGAUUAUUCAUUCACAAGAAUGCCUUCAUUUUCUAUCAAGUGAAAAUUUUCAUAAGAAGGAUUAGGUUUGUACUGUCAUAACCUUAAAAUGUCAAGAAACCUAAUAAUAAAUAAAUAUUUUAGGAUUAGAUAAAAAGUAUUUAGGUGUAGGUAUUAAUUAUUUGUACUACGAAAAUACUUUCUAACUUUUAGGUACUAUUAUGAGAGUAAACUUGGAAAUUAUAAAAGGUAUUCAUAGAUUGACCAUAUCUACCUGGUCAAAAACAUGCAGUGUGUUUAUGAUUUUGCAUCAUCCUUUUUUGAAAGUUGACAUUUUGGCAGCAAUACUACUAAUAAAAUACUCAACUUGAAUAUAUUAGAUGCCAGAUUUAUCUUAUGGAAAGUUAAAUGGUACUGUCAUCAGGACCAAUCCUUUGUAGACAGCCUAUUUUUAAAAUACACCCUACUUUAAAUAAAGCAUGAUGUUUGGUGAAAAAUAUCUAAAUCAUAACCGCAUAUAUUUUAAGAUUAUUUUUUCCCUCCAGAAUAUAUAAAUUGUACAGGUUAUUUCAUUCUUUAAGUAUCAAAAAUACAAAAACCGGAGUUCCCGUCGUGGCGCAGUGGUUAACGAAUCCGACUAGGAACCAUGAGGUUGUGGGUUCGAUCCCUGCCCUUGCUCAGUGGGUUAACGAUCUGGCGUUGCCAUGAGCUGUGGUGUAGAUUGCAGACGUGGCUCGGAUCCUGCGUUGCUGUGGCUCUGGCGUAGG